Molecule: RNA transcript, 2496 nt
Organism: Fragaria vesca subsp. vesca
Lineage: Eukaryota; Viridiplantae; Streptophyta; Magnoliopsida; Rosales; Rosaceae
Exons: 4
Source: RefSeq, a predicted model, not a curated record
UUUUUCUCUCCGCUCUCUGUUCUUCGUCCGGAGCCGAGGAGCCUUAGGGCGGCGGUUACUCCGGUGACUGAGCGGCCUCUAGGGAUUUGGGAGACAGGCGGUGGAGUGGCACCGAGCAGUUUGAGGACUCCGGGUACCGGAAUCGAGCAUGCACAUAGUGUCGGUGCAGUUUGAGGACUCCGGGUACCGGAAUCGAGCAUGCACAUAGUGCGUUUGGGAUGAUGACUCCCGCCAGAGAGAAUACGCCGCCGGUCGGAGGUCUUAGCCGGAGAAGGGGACAGAGAUCGAACAGUGUGUUGCCUUCUUGGUACCCUAGAACUCCUCUGCGAAGCGGGGGUGUUAACUGUUCACGUGAACAGUAACCUGCACCUGACGGUUUUAUCCCUCAGCUCUUUCAUUUAUUUCAGACACGUGUAAACAAAACCUCAUCUCACCACCGCUCCACAGUCAGAUUCCAUCGAGAAGACUGAGACCAAGAUCGAAAGAGAGAAGAGAACUGAACAGCGAAAGAACCCCCAACUGCGGUGUGAGCCAGAACCCUAAGCUUCCACACCAAACCCCUAUCCUCGAUCCGUUUCUCAAACCCGACCGGAAUCAUAACCGGAGCUCCAGCUUCUUGACGACUGCCCAACACCCAAAUAAAACACAGCCCGGAAUUCUCUAUCCCACGUACGCGCCAAAUCAUGUAUGGAGUCUCGACUCAGUGUCACCUCCGUCCCCAGUAAUUGCAGCUGUUCUUGCUUUUAUCGAAAUCCAAACUGAGGUUCUUCAAAUCUUUGAUUCAAGCAGGUUAAUUAGUGAUCAGAGAUAUCCUAAUUAUGGUGUAUAAUGUGAUAGGUUUUUCGAUCAAAAGUCCGGAGAGACGGAGGAGAUAGCAGAGGAAGAAGGAGAGGAACUGGACUGUCAGUCCGGGUAGUCUGUCUAAUAAGUGCUGCAUCUAAUUCAAAUCUUUAAAUUGUGGAACAUGUGUGCGGAGAAGAAAUUGGUAGAUGCAGAGGAUUAACUUUGCAGUAUAACUAUACAACACAUUAUAUUAUUGCCGCCCAGCAUCCGGGAGCAAACAUUAGAACAUGUGCUUAAAUGCAUCCACCUUUGUUAUACUCUUUUACUUUGUACAUAAAUGUGUUGUGUACAUGCUUAAAUUCUCAAAAUUUAUCGUCUUUUAAGAUUAUACAUAUGAAUAACGAAAAUAAAGAUCCCGCAGCAAAGUGCAAAAAAGGCUAAUGAUGAAGAAAGAGUUAGCUGCUAGAAGUUGUGUCACUGUUGAUAUUGCAGAAACUUAGUGAACACGUUAUUGUUUGGGGUGGUGGAAGGAAGAUAUGUGAAGAGAAGUGGUAGGCUAUACAGAAGAGAAGUGAUUGCCUCUGUUUAGAUUUAGAGACAGUGUUUUGGAGAUUCCAUCUUCGUUUUAGAUUUUUGGUUUUAUAUAUUAUUUUUUAUUGUUGAGCAUUUAAGUCAGAUUAUCAACUUAUUUGCAUUGUCUGCUCAAUUUUAUUGUGCAGAUAGAGAGGAAGAAAUUUUGAUGGCGGACUGAAAAGAAAAAAAAGGAUAGAUCUCGGAUAGGGGUCGACUUUCAGUUUGUUUUGGAAUGGGUGAUUCAGAAGAGUGGAAGAGAGAGGCUUUCCAAAACUAUAGUGGAAGAGAGAGAGGCAUCGAAGAAGAAAAAAACACUGAAUCGGAGAGAGGUAGUGGAAACUGAAAAGAGUGUUCCUCUUCAGGCGUCGGAGUAUCCGCAAGUACAUGAGCUUUGUCUCUCAGGUUAUGUUGUUGCUUUGCGACCUGGGCUGCAAGUUCUCACUUUUUCCUAUUGGUAGGGUGCUGCAAUUUGAUGGGUUUAGUUGCGGUUGGCCAUUUUCAAUAUUUUGCUUCUCAAUCUGAAUAUUGAUAUCUGAGUUUUUAUGCAGUUGGUAUACUCUGCUUGAAAAUAUAUUGCUUUUCAAUAUAUUGAUAUCUGAGUAUUCUAUUGAUAUCUGAAUAUCAAUAAUCUGAAUAUUGAUAUCUGAAUAUUAAUAAUCUGGAUGUAUUAGCACGCGACGGUACAUAUUAGUCCAUCGCGGAUUGUAUAACAAACUUUUACAUCUCAUGGCUAAACUUUUUUCCUUUUUUUCCUCGAAGCUGUUUGACGAAAGUCCUGGACCAUGUCCAUAUAUGCUCUCAUUUUUGGGUUUGCCUAUACUGGACAGGACAAUAGAGAAACCAUUUCAGCUUUGGGAUAUAGCCACGCACGCGCGUAGCGCAGGCUUCAAAGUUAGUAAUUAGAUUAAAUGAAUCAAUUGAUCAAAAUAUAUUUAAACAAAACUGUUCGUGUAAAUCACAAUUACGGAAGCCCAAAUGAUCUUCAAAUUAGAUGAAACUUUGCAUGAAUGAUUUACACACUAUGUUCUAUACACUGAACGGCGGAAAUGUGAAAAUGUGAUAUAAAAGUGACCAAAUCAUCCUUGCAAAUUUUCAGCUAAUUUGGUUUUUGUUAAGGUAUUAAAAAUGUUUUAAAUCAAU